Molecule: long non-coding RNA, 2908 nt
Organism: Dama dama (fallow deer)
Lineage: Eukaryota; Metazoa; Chordata; Mammalia; Artiodactyla; Cervidae
Exons: 4
Source: RefSeq, a predicted model, not a curated record
CAUUGCUCUAACAUGAACUGAGCACGAAAUACUUAUUGGCUGCUGGCAGGUAAAGAAUAGCUGGGGGUAUGUGUUCCACAAUGAAGCCAUCUUUGCCUUUCUCUGAGGGAGCCCAUGUCCAGAUCAUGGAAGAGCUUACGAGUACACGCCAGGCGAGGGACCAUCAGUGAUGCUGCAGUUAACACCUGCUCUUCUGCAGAGACCGGGAGGAUUUGCGGCCCUCAAUCUUGCUUGACUCCCCCAGUCAUGCAAGGCAGGCAUCUCCAAGCCCACUCUACAGCGACCCCUCAAGGAAGCUGGGCGUCUUUAAGAUUGGAGGCACGUUGAGAAUGAGUGUGACGUCCAGAGAAAGUGUCUGUGAAGGAACCUCGCGCAGCGGGCUUCCAGGAAGACAUGCAGGACACAGAGCCCUCGGUGAAGAGAGUCUCCAGGCAGCGGUGAUGCUGUGACAACAGGCAGGAGUUGGUCCGGGGCUGAGUGGUGGUCCUGAAACAAUGCGGUGCUCAGAGAGGGUCCCCAUAAAGCAGUAUGAUCCUCCCAGGAACUCUCCCCUGGGCUGUUCUUCCCUGCGAGGGACACGGAGGGCUGCGUGAGGACCAUCCUUAGAGCUGGGAAUCACAUCUUCUUCUGCGUGACCCCAUCAUGUACAUUACCGUCUGCCUCCCCGCCCUCCCAUCGCCCACCGAGGCUUCCUGCCACCGCCCACCUGAACAUCAAGUAUCUCAUUCAGCUCCUGACCUCCACUCACCGCACCCCCCACAACCUCGCCGCUUCCUCCUACUGCUUCUCCAUCAUCCUCCCUUUGAUCCAGACACACGAAACUACUUGCCAUUCCUGAGAUGUGCCCGGAACGCCAGUGGUGUCGUCUUCUGGGAAAGAGCAUCCAGAAGGACUCAGGGCUCAGGGCUGACUGUCAGGGCUCACAGUCACUGAGCCUUCCUGGGACCCCCACUCUGAUCUGGGUUCCGUCCUCUCGUCUCUGGACAGCCCCCUGCCCCCCGCCUGGGACUUGCAUUCCCUGACUGCAGGCACUUGUUCAUCUCUCUCCCCGCCUGGGUUGAGCAACUUGAGGGCAAGGAGCUGUGAUGUUGAGUUCCUGAUGUCCCCCGGCAUGUAGAAUCAGACUAGCUUGUAGCAGAGGCCCGGCACAUUUCUCUGGGAUGAAGGACUGAAUAGAUAACUGAAAAUAGCAAAAAGUCUCCCAGGCCAAGGCUUAUACACCAGGAGAUCACCAGGGAUGGGCUGUCAGUGGGAGGACAUUCCCAGGCCUGCUCAUAAAGGGAAUCAGGGGCAGUUUCUGGAACUUUCUGGACACAGGUACCAUCCUUGGAGAAGCGUAUCCUUUUAUUAUGUGACUGUGAGGGGUCCCUCCUUUGGCUGCUGGAUGUGGUGUGUUGGGGGCUUUGCUCCCCAAGUGUUGUGGGGGGCCCCAGGAAACCAGCCCUGAGACAGAGAAUGGGUUCAGGCAAGUUAGUGAGGGCAGUGCUCCGUGAUCACCCUCUGCCCAGCCGAGAGGGCUGCCCAAGGGUCGGGAGGAAGAAGCUGGGCUACAAUGUCCAACCACAGAGGGGAGCGGUGUUUCUCAGCCACUCCCUGAGACCCUCUGCAGCCCUUCCGAGUUCCCCAAGUUGGAGCUAGGGGCCAGGUUUUACACCCCCACGAUGACCAUCAAGGGAGGCGGGCAUGUUAUGGAUUCGACCGUGUCCGUCCAAAGAGACGUGUUGAAUUCUUGAGGCUGCCCCAACCUGGGAAUAUUCGAGAACCUGCUACAGAAAAUGUUGUGCACAGGGAUCUCAGGUCGGUGGGGCAGUGUAGGUAAGAGACACAAGAUUCAAAGUAGCCUGAGUGCGUUUCAUUAAUUAAUUCUUUUAUUCACAUGCUUCCUUCAUUUUCCAAAUAUUUAUUGAGCACCUGCUAUUUGCUCUACUAGGGGCACACUGGGGGCAUGCCAAGGCGGUAUUGUGAACCCCUCAGCCAGGCGCUAAGUGGCUCCUGCCUUUCUGUGUUUCUGCAAAUGAACCCACUUUCUUGCCCCCUGGGAUCCAGACCAGCAGCUUCAUUCCCAUGUGCCUACUGCGGCCCUCACCACAUGCACUCGAUGUAAUGUGAUGGCGUAAUUACAGAAAUGGAUAACACCCCGAGCUUCCCGAACCACCCCAGAACACGUUGUAAUGAUUUGUCACCCAUUUUCCAAGGUAGCAUGCACUAACCCUUAAUUAUAAGCCAAGGCUGGAGAUGAGUAAAUAAAUAUGCAUGCCAGUCUGAAUGCUAUAAUUAGAACUACCAUUUGGCUAAAGAAAAGUAGAGACGCUUUAAUUCCAGGCCUCUGCCUGAAUGUUGAGCUGCUGCUAGGGAACGGCCCGUGUGUGUUAACACGUUAAGUUCUGAGCAAGAGCUAGCAUAGUGAGAAGGCAGCGUUUUGUAAACGGGGCUGGGACUCUGCAUGUCACUAGAUGUUUCAAUUCUGUGUUUAUUUCCCAAAGCCAACUUAAUGUGAUGGUUAGUAGUUUUCAGACACUGACUUCAGAUAGCUACUUUGAAUGACAAUUUGGCGUAAAGUGUCUAACACUAUUUGUAUAACAGGUUGGCAUCACUCAUUGGCAGCAAAGAGUUGGGUAAUAAUGGGAUGGACACACACCAUCUAUUCAUUUAACAUUUUUUCUCACGUAUCCACUCCAUGCCAGGCACUGUUCUAGGUAGUGAUGGACACAAAUGACUUGGACCUAGAGCUUGUCAGACAGAGUAAGUCAGGCAGAGAAAGACAAAUAUCCUAUGGUAUUGCUUAUCCUGGCGUGCUGCAGUCCGUGGAAUUGCAAAGAGUCGGAUGCUACUGAGCGACGGAACUGAACUGAUUGCUUAUAUGUGGAAUCUUUAAAAAUGGUAUAGGUGAAUCUGUUUACAAAACAGA